CUACCCUCGAGCGAGGCGGAGAUCGGUCACCUGCUCGAGGGUAGAUCCGCUACCCUCGAGCGAGGCGGAGAUUGCCCAGCGGGCCUGAGAGGUACCCUCGAGCGAGGCGGAGAUCGUUCCGCGGGUUCGAGGGGGAUGCGAAUGGGCCGCAUGCUGGGCUUCUUCGAGUCAUUCCCUUUCCUCUGAAUGAGAAGCAGGCCGUGGGCCUUCGUGGGCUUAGCCAUCUUAUCAGGUGUUUGUGUUUUAAAAAGCGGUCUUAGUACCCCAAUUAGGGUGUCCCUAAUUGUGGCACCCGACAGUGACUACUGAAUCUAGCCAACCGAUUGUUAAGAAACGCCUCCCAAAGAAAAUCAGACAAGUCCCUGACUGUUAUUUUCUGCCUCGGCGAUCCUGGCCUUCUGCACUGGCCAUCUAUGGUGUUGUGUGUGCUGCUAGGGUUGGUGCAGGGAUGCUUCUUGAGGUGUGGAUAGACAAAAAGAUCAAAGAGGAUGGUGGCAUCAUCUGGGAGAUGGAUAAAUGAUAUGGAGCACAUUUUGAUGCAGUAAAACCUCCCUUGGCAUUAUGGAGAUAGCUAACUCUGAAAAUGCUGAUGCAAAUUAACACUGCCUUGCUUUGUUUUAAAGGCGAUCUAAGGCAAGCUGGGUACGCCUGGACGCAUAGGCGACAAGGCGUGGCUCCCAAGGCGAGCUGGGUACGCUUAUGUAUCUGGAUUCAUCUUUGUAAUAGCAGUAUGGUGCUCCAAACUUCCAAGCUUCAUUAAACAAGCAGACUGAAAGUGUCAGAACUGCAAUUCAUAGAGAUUUUGGAAUUUUGUGAGACAUUAUAAUUAGUGCACUGGUAAGCAUUACUUUGAAUGUCUUUGUGGUUUUUCCAGCCGUCAAGUGGCAUGUUGUGGCCAGAUUUGACGAUCAGUGUAUCUGCCAUUAUGUGAGAAUUCAUUCAUUUGUGUGCAUCAAACUCUUACUAUC
Molecule: long non-coding RNA, 968 nt
Organism: Panicum virgatum (switchgrass)
Lineage: Eukaryota; Viridiplantae; Streptophyta; Magnoliopsida; Poales; Poaceae
Exons: 2
Source: RefSeq, a predicted model, not a curated record